RNAcentral lists this ribosomal RNA (426 nucleotides) under uncultured bacterium. RNAcentral describes it as "bacterial SSU rRNA". It matches the Rfam family "Bacterial small subunit ribosomal RNA", at positions 355 to 772 of the family's 1533-position model. The record is from RNAcentral.
UGGGGAAUUGUUCGCAAUGGGCGCAAGCCUGACGACGCAACGCCGCGUGGAGGAUGAAGGUCUUCGGAUUGUAAACUCCUGUUGAUCGGGACGAACAUCCAUCGGAUCAAUACCCCGAUGGACUGACGGUACCGGUUGAGGAAGCCCCGGCUAACUCUGUGCCAGCAGCCGCGGUAAUACAGAGGGGGCAAGCGUUGUUCGGAAUUACUGGGCGUAAAGGGCGCGUAGGCGGCUUUGCAAGUCGGGUGUGAAAUCCCCAGGCUUAACCUGGGAACUGCACUCGAGACUGCAUUGCUAGAGUAUGGGAGAGGGAAGUGGAAUUUCCGGUGUAGCGGUGAAAUGCGUAGAUAUCGGAAGGAACAUCAGUGGCGAAAGCGACUUCCUGGACCAAUACUGACGCUCAUGUGCGAAAGCGUGGGGAGCAAA